UAUUGAUUAUUGUAUGUGAAUUUUUGGUGGGUUGAUGAUUUAUUUCAGUAUUGGAAGCUAAUGGUCCGAAAAAUCCAAGGAAUUUGUUUCAGGAAUACAAGUGAAUAUGAGGUACCACUUGAUUUCCCAAUGCAUUUGAAGAGCUUCGCCAGGAAUUAGCCAAGGUUUAUAGUCUCCAAGUUUGGCUGCCAAGUGCAAUGCACUGUUUCCCUUUUUAUCCACUUUUCCGAAUAUAUUACUUUUCUUUAGAUUUUUCUUGUUGAGCAAGAAGUUAUAUAAGUAAGUUUGUCUGUUCUCUACUGCCAAUAGCACUAUAUUUUUUUUCUUGGCAUCCAUAUCAUGAACAGCUACUGGAAACGAGUCAAUGAUUUUCUCUACCAUUUCUGUCA
Glycine soja is the source of this 389-nucleotide long non-coding RNA. RefSeq lists it as uncharacterized. The record is from RefSeq and is a predicted model, not a curated record. The transcript is spliced from 2 exons. NCBI's taxonomy places the organism in Eukaryota, Viridiplantae, Streptophyta, Magnoliopsida, Fabales, Fabaceae.